CUUGACAGAUUUGCGGACAGAUAUAGUGGACAUGGGAAUCAAUAGCACCCGCGGUGAAUAUCUUGCCUUCGCCAGCAAAAGCUUCUGUACUUGCACCUACGACCAUUCCAGGGGUCACGCCAUCCAUGACAUCCGGGUUUCCCGCCUUUCCAAUACCGACGAUGAUUCCAUGUUUGACCCCGAUAUCCGCCUUGUAGAUCCCAGUGUAGUCAAAGAUAACGGCGUUUGUGAUCACCAGGUCCAGCACGUCGGCGUCGCACGCAUAGGUAGCCUGGCCCAUACCUUCCCGUAG
This 292-nucleotide small RNA is filed under the name Absidia glauca. RNAcentral's name for it is "5' ureB small RNA". It matches the Rfam family "5' ureB small RNA". Lineage: Eukaryota; Fungi; Mucoromycota; Mucoromycetes; Mucorales; Cunninghamellaceae. The record is from Rfam by way of RNAcentral.